UGGGGAAUAUUGGACAAUGGGCGGAAGCCUGAUCCAGCCAUGCCGCGUGUGUGAAGAAGGCCUUUUGGUUGUAAAGCACUUUAAGCGAGGAGGAGGCUCUUAAGGUUAAUACCCUUGAUGAGUGGACGUUACUCGCAGAAUAAGCACCGGCUAACUCUGUGCCAGCAGCCGCGGUAAUACAGAGGGUGCGAGCGUUAAUCGGAUUUACUGGGCGUAAAGCGUGGGUAGGCGGCUGAUUAAGUCGGAUGUGAAAUCCCUGAGCUUAACUUAGGAAUUGCAUUCGAUACUGGUCAGCUAGAGUAUGGGAGAGGAUGGUAGAAUUCCAGGUGUAGCGGUGAAAUGCGUAGAGAUCUGGAGGAAUACCGAUGGCGAAGGCAGCCAUCUGGCCUAAUACUGACGCUGAGGUAGGAAAGCAUGGGGAGCAAACAGGAUUAGAUACCCUGGUAGUCCAUGCCGUAAACGAUGUAUACUAGCCGUUGGGGCCUUUGAGGCUUUAGUGGCGCAGCUAACGCGAUAAGUAGACCG
This 525-nucleotide ribosomal RNA is filed under the name uncultured Gammaproteobacteria bacterium. RNAcentral describes it as "bacterial SSU rRNA". It matches the Rfam family "Bacterial small subunit ribosomal RNA", at positions 355 to 871 of the family's 1533-position model. The record is from RNAcentral. Lineage: Bacteria; Pseudomonadati; Pseudomonadota; Gammaproteobacteria.